AAUAUUGGACAAUGGGGGCAACCCUGAUCCAGCCAUGCCGCGUGUGUGAAGAAGGUCNNNGGAUUNUNAAGCACUUUAAGUUGNGGNNAAGGGGUUUAGGUUAAGACCCUGACGUUUUUACGUUAACAGCAGAAUAAGCACCGGAUAACUCUGCGCCAGCAGCCGCGGUAAUACGGAGGGUGCAAGCGUUAAUCGGAAUUACUGGGCGUAAAACGAGCGUAGGUGGUUCAGUAAGAUGGGUGUGAAAUCCCCGGGCUUAACCUGGGAACUGCUUUCAUAACUGCUGAGCUAGAGUACGGUAGAGGGUAGUGUAAUUUCCUGUGUAGCGGUGAAAUGCGUAGAUAUAGGAAGGAACACCAGUGGCGAAGGCGACUACCUGGACUGAUACUGACACUGAGGUGCGAAAGCGUGGGGAGCAAAC
RNAcentral lists this ribosomal RNA (421 nucleotides) under uncultured bacterium. RNAcentral's name for it is "partial 16S ribosomal RNA". It matches the Rfam family "Bacterial small subunit ribosomal RNA", at positions 360 to 773 of the family's 1533-position model. The record is from RNAcentral.